AAAUUGAAGAGUUUGAUCAUGGCUCAGAUUGAACGCUGGCGGCAGGCCUAACACAUGCAAGUCGAACGGUAACAGGAAACAGCUUGCUGUUUCGCUGACGAGUGGCGGACGGGUGAGUAAUGUCUGGGAAACUGCCUGAUGGAGGGGGAUAACUACUGGAAACGGUAGCUAAUACCGCAUAAUGUCGCAAGACUAAAGAGGGGGACCUUCGGGCCUCUUGCCAUCGGAUGUGCCCAGAUGGGAUUAGCUAGUAGGUGGGGUAACGGCUCACCUAGGCGACGAUCCCUAGCUGGUCUGAGAGGAUGACCAGCCACACUGGAACUGAGACACGGUCCAGACUCCUACGGGAGGCAGCAGUGGGGAAUAUUGCACAAUGGGCGCAAGCCUGAUGCAGCCAUGCCGCGUGUAUGAAGAAGGCCUUCG
Molecule: ribosomal RNA, 423 nt
Filed under: Escherichia coli
Lineage: Bacteria; Pseudomonadati; Pseudomonadota; Gammaproteobacteria; Enterobacterales; Enterobacteriaceae
Also listed under: 1 other name
Description: bacterial SSU rRNA
Rfam family: Bacterial small subunit ribosomal RNA
Source: RNAcentral